This 68-nucleotide microRNA precursor is filed under the name Rhinopithecus bieti (black snub-nosed monkey). Its description in RNAcentral is "miRNA (ENSRBIG00000016259.1)". Lineage: Eukaryota; Metazoa; Chordata; Mammalia; Primates; Cercopithecidae. The record is from RNAcentral.
UGGUGCAAAAGUAAUUGCGGUUUUUGCCACUAAAAGUAAUGACAAAAACUACAAUUACUUUUGCACCC